GCUGUCCUGGACCUACCAGCAGCAAAGAUGCAGAUGCUCUGCUCUGCCUGUAACAUCGGGGUAAAGUCAAAGUGGUUAUUUCUACACUCAGUAUUCAGAAAACAGUAAACAACAAGAAUGGAUAAUAGCCUGACAUUU
Cebus imitator (Panamanian white-faced capuchin) is the source of this 138-nucleotide small nucleolar RNA. NCBI's taxonomy places the organism in Eukaryota, Metazoa, Chordata, Mammalia, Primates, Cebidae. The record is from Ensembl.